GAAUCUUGCCCAAUGGGCGCAAGCCUGAGGCAGCAACGCCGCGUGCGGGAAGAAGGCUCUCGGGUUGUAAACCGCUUUCAGCAGGAACGAAACUGACGGUACCUGCAGAAGAAGGUGCGGCCAACUACGUGCCAGCAGCCGCGGUGACACGUAGGCACCAAGCGUUGUCCGGAUUUAUUGGGCGUAAAGAGCUCGUAGGCGGUUCGGUAAGUCGGGUGUGAAAUCCCUGGGCUCAACCCAGGAAGUGCACCCGAUACUGCUGUGACUCGAGUCCGGUAGGGGAGUGCGGAAUUCCUGGUGUAGCGGUGGAAUGCGCAGAUAUCAGGAGGAACACCAAUGGCGAAGGCAGCACUCUGGGCCGGUACUGACGCUGAGGAGCGAAAGCGUGGGGAGCGAACAGG
This 401-nucleotide ribosomal RNA is filed under the name uncultured bacterium. RNAcentral's name for it is "bacterial SSU rRNA". It matches the Rfam family "Bacterial small subunit ribosomal RNA", at positions 359 to 776 of the family's 1533-position model. The record is from RNAcentral.